CUUGGUGAUUUUCGCGGUAGGGGUACACCCGGUCACAUCCCGAACCCGGAAGUUAAGUCUACCAGCGCCGAUGGUACUUGGGGGGCAGCCCCCUGGGAGAGUAGGUCAUUGCCAAGA
Molecule: ribosomal RNA, 117 nt
Filed under: Chloroflexota bacterium
Lineage: Bacteria; Bacillati; Chloroflexota
Source: RNAcentral